This 428-nucleotide unclassified non-coding RNA is filed under the name Pleosporales sp. RNAcentral describes it as "partial contains 18S ribosomal RNA". The stretch from base 57 to 368 matches the Rfam family "Group I catalytic intron". From Rfam's summary of the family: Group I catalytic introns are large self-splicing ribozymes. They catalyse their own excision from mRNA, tRNA and rRNA precursors in a wide range of organisms. Lineage: Eukaryota; Fungi; Ascomycota; Dothideomycetes; Pleosporales. The record is from RNAcentral.
AUCCUUCCGCGUAACACUUGCCGAAGCCUUAGCAGCCUGAAAAGGUGCAGCUCCAACGACUAUAAUUAUAGAGAGCUGUUUAAAUGCUAGUCCGUGCAUAGCGGGCAACACUAUCAAAUUGCGGGAACACCCUAAAGACCUCAACACCAAGCGACUGUGGGAAACCACGGCGUGGCCGAGCUAAUAGCCCUGGGUAUGGUAAUAGCUUGAGGUAUGAUACUCUUCUAAGGAGUUGAAAUGGGCAAUCCGCAGCCAAGUCCUACAGUGCUCAAGUAUGGGUGCCAUGGAUGCUGUUCACAGGCCAAAUGGUAGUGGGUGACUUUUUGGAGUUGCUUAAGAUAUGGUCGGGCUCUUUCAGAAAUGUUAGAGAUGAGUUUACGCUCCCAGACAAUAACCGUUCCGUAGGUGAACCUGCGGAAGGAUCAUUA